RNAcentral lists this unclassified non-coding RNA (288 nucleotides) under Hevea brasiliensis (rubber tree). Lineage: Eukaryota; Viridiplantae; Streptophyta; Magnoliopsida; Malpighiales; Euphorbiaceae. The record is from RNAcentral.
UUUUUAUUUAUUUAUUUAUUUUGAAAAGCUUCAAUCAAUCCAUCUUGUCCAAAACCUCAUUGCAGCGCAUGGGAGGGAAGAAGAAAUGGAGAACGGAGAAAGCAUCAUUUGAAAUAGUGACAUUAUUGUAGUACGUAUGUGGAAGCGGAAUAAAAAAUGGUGGACAAAAUAAUGGAUCGACGCUCUUUUUGAUUUCACAGCCUCAGAAUUUUCCUUCGGCAAUACAAAAUAUCCAUCCACAUCCAUCUUUAUGAACAUUUCAACCACCAAUUUAAAUAAAAAAAGAUA